Armigeres subalbatus is the source of this 1159-nucleotide long non-coding RNA. RefSeq lists it as uncharacterized. The record is from RefSeq and is a predicted model, not a curated record. Lineage: Eukaryota; Metazoa; Arthropoda; Insecta; Diptera; Culicidae. The transcript has 3 exons.
UCUAUCACAAGGAAUAUUAGUACAAACCGAAAUUCGACUCUGUCAGAAGCUCAGUGAGAGACUGGAGUUCUCUCUCUCAAUCCCAAUCCUUUCCAGCACGCACGGUACCACUCACCCACCUCGAGUUUGUUGACAGCGGUUUGAGCACUGGCAAAAGAUACCCAGCUGAAAUGGGCAUGCAUAGAUAGGGUAAGGGGUAUGGUGUUCACAAAUAUGACAAAUACUAACCCAACGAACUCGGGUUCGUUCGGUUUUCUUAUGGAAGUUUCGUAGGUAGAAUGCUUGGCAAUUUAACACUGUCGAUCUCUUCUGUUCCAACCGCUCAAGCGAGCAGUAAAGUGCGCGGCGCGUUAAAAAUUUCAAAGUAUGCCAAUGAUAGGCAAAUUCUAUUAGUGGUGUUUUUUUCUAACAUUUUAUUGUGUUCUUCAACUUAUAGGUCUAGAUAAAAAAUAAAUAGAACGGAAAACUUUGUUAGUGCGUAUAAAGUAAAAUAGUACGUUAAAAGGUAAACGGCAACAAUAUCGCCUAACAUCGUUACUUAACGAAGAAUAGAUCCUGUAAAGAAAAAGGUCCACAAAGGGCCUUUUUCUUCUAUUUAACAGCUUUUGUCUGGGAAACGCCACCAUAAUUCCCAGACAAAUAAAUACAAAAGGAACAGAAGAAUAAGACGGAAGAAGUGGCCAUUUUGGAUGGAAAGUUGGUGCCACUUAUCGCCAUAUUGAAAGGAAGCUAACAUCGAACGUCCCGUGGACAACUCCAGCAAUUCCUUUUCGUUGGACAAGGAGGCCAUUAGGCGUCAAUUCGCCACCCGGCCAAGUAGGCACGUCGAGCGAAGCCCCGGUGGGCUGGAUAGGCCGUCGGCCAUCACUCCGACCACGAAAACUUCCGGUGAGCCGCCUGAAAGGAAAAUUACUUAGCUUCGGCAGGGAGCAACGUCCAUCAACCUGCAACGGACGUCUGCCACGAUCGCCAGAAUCUUCGUCUCGCCUCCGCGUGCGAGAAAACGCAAAGCAAUCAAUUACCGCAUUUCGCCGACCACAGAAGAACCUAGACCUACAUACAAAAAACCGCAAGUAAAAUAAUGUGACGUCACAAAAACAAAAACUAGAAUAAGUUAAAACCAUAAAUCUAUGUUAUCCAUAAUUGUUAAUAUACCCUA